GGUGCGGUAGCCAAGAGGUUAGGCAGCGGUCUGCAAAACCGUUUACACCGGUUCAAUUCCGGUCCGCACCU
RNAcentral lists this transfer RNA (71 nucleotides) under Elusimicrobiota bacterium. Its description in RNAcentral is "Elusimicrobia bacterium (anaerobic digester metagenome) tRNA-Cys". It matches the Rfam family "tRNA". Rfam says of the family: Transfer RNA (tRNA) molecules are approximately 80 nucleotides in length. The record is from RNAcentral. Lineage: Bacteria; Pseudomonadati; Elusimicrobiota.